AAGACCUUGCGCUUUUGGAGCGGCCGAUGCCUGAUUAGCUUGUUGGUAAGGUAAAAGCUUACCAAGGCUUCGAUCAGUAGCUGGUCUGAGAGGACGACCAGCCACACUGGGACUGAGACACGGCCCAGACUCCUACGGGAGGCAGCAGUGGGGAAUUUUGGACAAUGGGGGCAACCCUGAUCCAGCCAUGCCGCGUGAGUGAAGAAGGCCUUCGGGUUGUAAAGCUCUUUCAGCCGGAACGAAACGGUUACGGUUAAUACCCGUGACUACUGACGGUACCGGAAGAAGAAGCACCGGCUAACUACGUGCCAGCAGCCGCGGUAAUACGUAGGGCGCGAGCGUUAAUCGGAAUUACUGGGCGUAAAGCGUGCGCAGGUGGUUUUGUAAGUCAGAUGUGAAAGCCCCGGGCUCAACCUGGGAACU
This 423-nucleotide ribosomal RNA is filed under the name uncultured bacterium. Its description in RNAcentral is "bacterial SSU rRNA". It matches the Rfam family "Bacterial small subunit ribosomal RNA", at positions 207 to 622 of the family's 1533-position model. The record is from RNAcentral.